This 469-nucleotide ribosomal RNA is filed under the name uncultured bacterium. RNAcentral's name for it is "partial 16S ribosomal RNA". It matches the Rfam family "Bacterial small subunit ribosomal RNA", at positions 28 to 507 of the family's 1533-position model. The record is from RNAcentral.
GAUGAACGCUGGCGGCGCGCCUAACACAUGCAAGUCGAACGGUUAAAGCACCUUUUAGGUGUGUAUAAAGUGGCGAACGGCUGAGUAACACGUGGGCAACCUGCCCUCCUCUUGGGGAUAGCCUCGGGAAACCGAGGAUAAUACCCGAUACUUCAAUGUGGCCGCAUGACGACAUUGAGAAAGCUUUUGCGGAGAAGGAUGGGCCCGCGGCCUGUUAGCUUGUUGGUGGGGUAGAGGCCUACCAAGGCAAUGAUGGGUAGCUGGGUUGAGAGACCGACCAGCCAGAGUGGGACUGAGACACGGCCCAGACUCCUACGGGAGGCAGCAGUGGGGAAUCUUGCACAAGGGGCGAAAGCCUGAUGCAGCGACGCCGCGGGCGGGACGAAGGCCUUCGGGUUGUAAACCGCUUUCAGCAGGGACGAGGCGAUAAGUGACGGUACCUGCAGAAGAAGCCCCGGCUAACUACGUG